AAAAAACUGAAGGAGCACAAAGAAGCAAACCCUGUUCGUUGAAGAAUCCUGAAAACCAGGCUUCAAAUUCCUUUGAGAGAAAAUAGAUAUCGAGAUUUCAAGAGCUUGAAGAUUACCUAACAACCCCACAAUUUUCUUUAUUCGUCUCUAACAAGAUUGCACUGGUAGAGGAAAUUGGUGUUGUUCUUUGUUUUCCUUCUGUUUACCUUAAAAGUUGG
This 218-nucleotide unclassified non-coding RNA is filed under the name Hevea brasiliensis (rubber tree). The record is from RNAcentral. Lineage: Eukaryota; Viridiplantae; Streptophyta; Magnoliopsida; Malpighiales; Euphorbiaceae.